GAAAUGCGAUAAGUAAUGUGAAUUGCAGAAUUCCGUGAAUCAUCGAAUCUUUGAACGCACAUUGCGCCCUCUGGUAUUCUGGGGGGCAUGCCUGUCCGAGCGUCAUUGCGAACCCCUCAAGCACGGCUUGUGUGAUGGGCCCUCCCGCGUCUUGGUCGUCAAGACGGGCCCGAAAUGCAGUGGCGGCUUCGCGGUUAUCCGAUCAGCCAGAGCGUAUGGGGACUUUCUCUCUGUCACACGCCCGCGGCGCGGACCGACGCCUGUCGACCUUUAUUCAUCUUUUUCUCGGUUGACCUCGGAUCAGGUAGGGAUACCCGCUGAACUUAAGC
Molecule: unclassified non-coding RNA, 329 nt
Filed under: plant metagenome
Description: partial contains 5.8S ribosomal RNA, internal transcribed spacer 2, and large subunit ribosomal RNA
Rfam family: 5.8S ribosomal RNA (bases 1-105)
Source: RNAcentral